Molecule: transfer RNA, 88 nt
Filed under: Bacilli bacterium
Lineage: Bacteria; Bacillati; Bacillota; Bacilli
Description: tRNA-Arg
Source: RNAcentral
GCCCUUGUCCCAAAAUGGCUAAUCUUGGGGCUUUUGCGUCGGUUUCCUAAACCGUGCGUCGGGUGUUCGAAUCGCCUCCGGGGCACCA